CCCUUAGAUGUUCUGGGCCGCACGCGCGCUACACUGAUGCAUUCAACGAGUCUAAAACCUGCUCUGAUAGGGGUGGGUAAUCUUUUGAAUGUGCAUCGUGAUUGGGAUAGAUGAUUGCAAUUUUUCAUCUUCAACGAGGAAUGCCUAGUAAACGCAAGUCAUCAGCUUGCAUUGAUUACGUCCCUGCCCUUUGUACACACCGCCCGUCGCUCCUACCGAUUGAAUGAUCCGAUGAAUUUCAUGGAUUGAGGAUGCAAGCAGGUUCGCCUGUCUUCAUCUUCGAGAAGUGAAGUAAAUCUUAUCAUUUAGAGGAAGGAGAAGUCGUAACA
Molecule: ribosomal RNA, 329 nt
Filed under: uncultured eukaryote
Lineage: Eukaryota
Description: partial 18S ribosomal RNA
Rfam family: Eukaryotic small subunit ribosomal RNA
Source: RNAcentral